Long non-coding RNA from Mastomys coucha (southern multimammate mouse), 417 nucleotides. RefSeq lists it as uncharacterized. The transcript has 2 exons. The record is from RefSeq and is a predicted model, not a curated record. Lineage: Eukaryota; Metazoa; Chordata; Mammalia; Rodentia; Muridae.
AUCAGCCUUCAUGGGGAGUGGUCAUCUCCUGGCCAAUGACUGACAGAUCCAGCUCCCUCAAAUCUUAAGGGAUGAGACAAUGGUCUGUAAUGCUCUAAUCUCUAGAACAGUUUGGAAACAUCAACCUAAGAGCUUAUUGGACAUUACAGCACACACCUGUGAUCCAGGCACUUAGGCCAUUUCCGGUCCAGCUGAAGGAUUGUUGAGAGCCUGUGAGGCCAGCCUGGAACACAGAAGUAUCAGGCCAGCAUGCCUACAGAGCAAGAUCUGGUUGCAAACCCCAGUCCUCCCCAACAACAACAACAACAACAACAACAACAACAACAACAACAGAUCUCAAGAGGAACUGAAAUGAGGGCUGUGUUCUGAUUUGUUACCACCAGGUGGAGACCACACAAAACAAAAGCAUUUCCCCGA